ACAGUAGCUUAGUGGUAGAGCAUCUCCUUUGCAUGCAGAUGGUCCUGUUUCAAUCCUAAACAUCUCCAGGCAGGGCUG
Podarcis lilfordi (Lilford's wall lizard) is the source of this 78-nucleotide non-coding RNA. NCBI's taxonomy places the organism in Eukaryota, Metazoa, Chordata, Lepidosauria, Squamata, Lacertidae. The record is from the annotation of a GenBank genome assembly.